AGUGGGGAAUCUUGGACAAUGGGCGCAAGCCUGAUCCAGCCAUGCCGCGUGAGUGAUGAAGGCCUUAGGGUCGUAAAGCUCUUUCGCCAGGGAUGAUAAUGACAGUACCUGGUAAAGAAACCCCGGCUAACUCCGUGCCAGCAGCCGCGGUAAUACGGAGGGGGUUAGCGUUGUUCGGAAUUACUGGGCGUAAAGCGCGCGUAGGCGGACCAGAAAGUUGGGGGUGAAAUCCCGGGGCUCAACCCCGGAACGGCCUCCAAAACUCCUGGUCUUGAGUUCGAGAGAGGUGAGUGGAAUUCCGAGUGUAGAGGUGAAAUUCGUAGAUAUUCGGAGGAACACCAGUGGCGAAGGCGGCUCACUGGCUCGAUACUGACGCUGAGGUGCGAAAGUGUGGGGAGCAAACAGGAUUAGAUACCCUGGUAGUCCACACCGUAAACGAUGAAUGCCAGUCGUCGGGUUGCAUGCAAUUCGGUGACACACCUAACGGAUUAAGCAUUCCGCCUGGGGAGUACGGUCGCAAGAUUA
RNAcentral lists this ribosomal RNA (525 nucleotides) under uncultured bacterium. Its description in RNAcentral is "bacterial SSU rRNA". It matches the Rfam family "Bacterial small subunit ribosomal RNA", at positions 353 to 896 of the family's 1533-position model. The record is from RNAcentral.